This 483-nucleotide ribosomal RNA is filed under the name uncultured bacterium. RNAcentral describes it as "partial 16S ribosomal RNA". It matches the Rfam family "Bacterial small subunit ribosomal RNA", at positions 30 to 507 of the family's 1533-position model. The record is from RNAcentral.
UUGAACGCUGGCGGCAGGCCUAACCCAUGCAAGUCGAGCGGAUGAAGGGAGCUUGCUCCUGGAUUCAGCGGCGGACGGGUGAGUAAUGCCUAGGAAUCUGCCUGGUAGUGGGGGAUAACGUCCGGAAACGGGCGCUAAUACCGCAUACGUCCUGAGGGAGAAAGUGGGGGAUCUUCGGACCUCACGCUAUCAGAUGAGCCUAGGUCGGAUUAGCUAGUUGGUGGGGUAAAGGCCUACCAAGGCGACGAUCCGUAACUGGUCUGAGAGGAUGAUCAGUCACACUGGAACUGAGACACGGUCCAGACUCCUACGGGAGGCAGCAGUGGGGAAUAUUGGACAAUGGGCGAAAGCCUGAUCCAGCCAUGCCGCGUGUGUGAAGAAGGUCUUCGGAUUGCAAAGCACUUUAAGUUGGGAGGAAGGGCAGUAAGUUAAUACCUUGCUGUUUUGACGUUACCAACAGAAUAAGCACCGGCUAACUUCGUG